UAAAACGAAAAAAAAACGCUAUAUCAUUGAAAAAUAAAUUCGAAGAAGCGACUUCACGAAUACAAAAUUUAACCCGUGAAAAUGAUAAUAUUUACUAGUUUACCUAGGUACAUAAAUUUAUAGAGAUUUUUAAUUUUUCGUGUUUCAGACAAAACGAUUUUUUUGGACGAUCGAGUAAAAUAGUUAAAGCGUGAAAGGUUCUUCCCUAUCGGGUCUUUUAGCAGUCUUAACAAAUGUGCCUUCGUUCCUUCAAGCUUUCGACCAGCCCACAUUAAUCUUCUUCUCGUAAUUUCUGCAAUAAUGUCUAAUUUUUGAAACAAGUUCUCAUUCCUCAUCGUGACGUACCCUCCAUUCCCAGUGUCAGAGUGGACAUAUGGCCCAUAAAUUCUUCUUAAAUUUUUUCGCUUAAACACUGCAAGUCUUGUU
Cinara cedri is the source of this 426-nucleotide non-coding RNA. The record is from the annotation of a GenBank genome assembly. Lineage: Eukaryota; Metazoa; Arthropoda; Insecta; Hemiptera; Aphididae.